GACGAACGCUGGCGGCGUGCCUAAUACAUGCAAGUCGAACGCAGUGGGGACGGGUGAGUAACACGUGGGUAACCUCCCAUCAGAGGGGAUAACACUUGGAAACAGGUGCUAAACCGAUACUGAUUGAUGGACCCGCGGUGCAUUAGCUAGUUGGUGAGGUAACGGCUCACCAAGGCCACGAGGCAUAGCCGAACGGGGAGGUGGAUCGGCCGCACUGGGACUGAGACACGUCCCAGACUCCUACGGGAGGCAGCAUGAGGGAAUAUUCGGCAAUGGACGAAAGUCUGACCGAGCAACGCCGCGUGAGUGAAGAAGGUUUUCGGAUCGUAAAACUCUGUUGUUAGAGAAGCGGUAUCUAACCAGAAAGCCACGGCUAACUACGUGCCAGCAGCCGCGGUAAUUC
This 403-nucleotide ribosomal RNA is filed under the name uncultured bacterium. RNAcentral's name for it is "partial 16S ribosomal RNA". It matches the Rfam family "Bacterial small subunit ribosomal RNA", at positions 28 to 526 of the family's 1533-position model. The record is from RNAcentral.